This 253-nucleotide ribosomal RNA is filed under the name uncultured bacterium. RNAcentral describes it as "partial 16S ribosomal RNA". It matches the Rfam family "Bacterial small subunit ribosomal RNA", at positions 796 to 1041 of the family's 1533-position model. The record is from RNAcentral.
CACGCCGUAAACGAUGUCAACUAGAUGUAGGGGGUGUUGAUCCCCUCUGUGUCGCAGCUAACGCAUUAAGUUGACCGCCUGGGGAGUACGGUCGCAAGAUUAAAACUCAAAGGAAUUGACGGGGGCCCGCACAAGCGGUGGAGUAUGUGGUUUAAUUCGAUGCAACGCGAAGAACCUUACCUGGUCUUGACAUCCCGGGAAUCCUUUGGAAACUUAGGAGUGCCUUCAUUAGAAGGAGCCCGGAGACAGGUGC